GACGAACGCUGGCGGCGUGCCUAAUACAUGCCAGUCGAGCGAAGUUUUUCUGGUGCUUGCACCGGAAAAACUUAGCGGCGAACGGGUGAGUAACACGUAAAGAACCUGCCUCAUAGACUGGGACAACUAUUGGAAACGAUAGCUAAUACCGGAUAAUAGCAUUAACUGCAUGGUUGAUGUUUAAAAGUUGGUUUUGCUAACACUAUGAGAUGGCUUUGCGGUGCAUUAGCUAGUUGGUGGGGUAAAGGCCUACCAAGGCGACGAUGCAUAGCCGACCUGAGAGGGUGAUCGGCCACACUGGGACUGAGACACGGCCCAGACUCCUACGGGAGGCAGCAGUAGGGAAUCUUCCGCAAUGGGCGAAAGCCUGACGGAGCAACGCCGCGUGAGUGAAGAAGGAUUUCGGUUCGUAAAGCUCUGUUGUUAGGGAAGAAUGAUUGUGUAGUAACUAUACACAGUAGAGACGGUACCUAACCAGAAAGCCACGGCUAACUACGUG
RNAcentral lists this ribosomal RNA (499 nucleotides) under uncultured bacterium. RNAcentral's name for it is "partial 16S ribosomal RNA". It matches the Rfam family "Bacterial small subunit ribosomal RNA", at positions 28 to 507 of the family's 1533-position model. The record is from RNAcentral.